UCCCUAGAGCUGGGGGCAGGUGACGUGGAGCCAGCAGCGGUGGGUGCUGCUGGUGCAGACGUGAAUGUGUGCCACAGGAGAUGGGCAUGGGCAGGGUACAACCCAGCCAGCGAAAAACAGGAUUGAUUGGUCAGAUGAAUGAUGCUGCCUCCUGCAGCCCCCUUUCCCCAUGGCUGUGCCGCAGGAGCUCAAGGCAGUAAGAGCAGAGGAGCCUGUGCAGAGUUCCUGGUGGGACUGCAGCUUUCAUCCAGAUUGCAGAUGCCCAAAAUAUCUGUAUUCUGGGCUGAGCAGACCGAAGUGCCCGUGGUUGAAGAGGACAUAGGGGAAGGCAGAAAGACAGACAAAGGAAAAGCACCUGAGCAGAGCUGAGGGUUUGUUUAAGGUGCUCACAUGUCAGCAGCUGAUGCAAACACACCAGUGGAUGCUACAGAGACCACAAACAGCCGUGGGUGUCUGCACACACUGCCCCCCCUGUUUAUCCAUGAACGGGAGCCACUCCAAUGAGCUGAGUCUGAUUUUAAAGGAUCUUUUGAGUGUUAAACAUGUAAUAAGAUGCUCAGUGCUAUUUUCAAACCAAGGCAUGUUCCUGGCUAAUUUACAAAAGGCCACAGUUUCCACUUUUAUGUGGGCAAAUGCUUUAAAAAAUUGGCUCCUGGGAUUUCGGGUGAUCAUUGAUUCAUCCUCUGACAAGCCUUCAUCUCUGACGUUUCCAUUACCAACUUUUCCAUCUCCAACUGCUUCAUCAUCCUCCUGAGCAUGGGCACACAGCUAAUAAAUCUGAGUCUUUAAUUGCCCUCCCACACUGUGUGGCUUUAUCUGAGCCAUCAUUCCUGUCGCUGUGCCUUGUCACAUCUCUCUGCUUCCAGCUUUGUGCUGCUGGAGUCAGCAAAAGGACAAAACUGUUCUUUAGGUUUGGGUUUAGGUACAAAUCCCCCCAGUAACACACUCCAUGGCUGUAUGGCCCUACAUGAUGUGUCUGACAUGGCUGAGUUGGCUCUCCCUGGGGAAGAUACAAACCCUCUGCUUUUAUCUCGUGCAAGGUCCCGUUUUUUGAUUCUUUAUGCAGCUGAAACUAUGAUAAGAAAUUGUGUAAGGAAAAAAAAAAUAAAAACCACAAACCCACCAUAAAUUCCCUUGCUAAAGACAUCAGUAAGGGUGGAGGAUUCUGCUGGCCCAGUGGUGCUGGGACCACUGGGGUGGAAAAGCCUCAGGUCCCAAGAACACUCAACGCCUCUGGUACCCAAGAGAGAUUUAUUUAUUCCCCCCAGUUUAUCCCCCUGUCAGGAGGUUUCCCACAGCCCUCCAGGAGUUGGUGCAGCAGUAUCAGUGGGCACUGGUCUAUCAGACUGAGCAGAAGCUUUUCCAGGAACUCUCUGGUGCCACACGUGACCGUGCCCGGCCGAGGCGUGAUACGUGACAGGCAUUCACCAGGUUCCCAGCCAGUCAGUUGACUUUGUUAUUCAAACUAUUUUAGUGAUGGUUUUUAAUCCCAGGCUUAAGUUUUUCUUUUUUCUAUUUUCCUUUUUUUUUUUUUUUUCCUUUCCUCUCGCUUCUUUUUUUACUCUCUGAACAAGGGAAUCUCUACACUGGCAGGAUUCAGAGAGGCACAAAGGAGGGAAAAACAAGUUUCAGCCAGAAGAGAGAGGGGAAAAAAAAGGAUGCUGUUAGCAUUCCCUGUAUUAGAGGGGGUAAAAACAUUUUGCUGUCAACUCUGUUUUAAAGGGUAAGUGCCAACAGCAGCCCAGUUACUAUGCAAAUACAUCGUGCGCUCAGCCUUUCCCUCUCAGUGCAAAAUUUUGGUGCUGGGGGUUGUUAGCCAGGGAAGCUGGGCUGUGGGGGCUGGCAUUGCCCCCCAUAUCCCCGGUGCUCCCAUCCCCAUCUUGGGGAUGGCCUCUGGCUGGGGGUGCCACUGCAAAGCUCUGGACCUUGCCAGGGGCCAUUGGUGGUGCCCAAGUUCCCUCAGAUAGCGUGGGACAGCGGGGAGCACUGCAGAGCUGUGGGCUGGGUACCCCUGCUCCUUAUCAAAAGCGGAUUCAGGCAGCUGCUGGCAGCAUAGCCCUUGGCUGUGCCUCUGUGAGAGGGGACACCCCAGGGAGUGCCUGGAAAGGGCAGAAAUCUCACCAAAGACAUUCCCUUUCAUGGCUGGCAAGUGGGGAGGGUCUGGCAGCAGCCACCCUGGGGUACAGGGUUGUCUCUCACUCGCUGCUGCCAGGUGCAAAGGAAGGUGAUGCCAGACUGUGGCUGGGUUCAUGCAGAUGAUGACCAGCACCCCAGCACUGGUUAUUUAUAGUGACACUUCCCCACGACAGCACAGGGGCUGCACAUG
Long non-coding RNA from Cinclus cinclus, 2326 nucleotides. RefSeq lists it as uncharacterized. The record is from RefSeq and is a predicted model, not a curated record. The transcript has 4 exons. NCBI's taxonomy places the organism in Eukaryota, Metazoa, Chordata, Aves, Passeriformes, Cinclidae.